GACGAACGCUGGCGGCGUGCUUAACACAUGCAAGUCGAACGGAAAGGCCCUGCUUUUGUGGGGCGCUCGAGUGGCGAACGGGUGAGUAACACGUGAGUAACCUGCCCUUGACUUUGGGAUAACUUCAGGAAACUGGGGCUAAUACCGGAUAGGAGCUCCUGCUGCAUGGUGGGGGUUGGAAAGUUUCGGCGGUUGGGGAUGGACUCGCGGCUUAUCAGCUUGUUGGGGGGGUAGUGGCUUACCAAGGCUUUGACGGGUAGCCGGCCUGAGAGGGUGACCGGCCACAUUGGGACCGAGAUACGGCCCAGACUCCUACGGGAGGCAGCAGGGGGGAAUCUUGCACAAUGGGCGGAAGCCUGAUGCAGCAACGCCGCGUGCGGGAUGACGGCCUUCGGGUUGUAAACCGCUUUCGCCUGUGACGAAGCGUGAGUGACGGUAAUGGGUAAAGAAGCACCGGCUAACUACGUG
This 468-nucleotide ribosomal RNA is filed under the name uncultured bacterium. RNAcentral's name for it is "partial 16S ribosomal RNA". It matches the Rfam family "Bacterial small subunit ribosomal RNA", at positions 28 to 507 of the family's 1533-position model. The record is from RNAcentral.